This 319-nucleotide long non-coding RNA is filed under the name Olea europaea (common olive). Its description in RNAcentral is "long non-coding RNA (OEUR_LNC010225)". The record is from RNAcentral. Lineage: Eukaryota; Viridiplantae; Streptophyta; Magnoliopsida; Lamiales; Oleaceae.
CAAAAUGAAAAUAAUAUUUAACCAACAUUCUCAAUCAAAUUUCCGCUCAAAAGGAAUACACAAUAAUUUCAUAUUGACAAAUAAAAUUUUGAAGCAUAUCAUGUCAUACAAAUACAUUCUUCAUCUACAUUUUCCUUGAUUUUUGAGUGCAAUACAUUUGAUUUGAACUCUUAUAAUAAACAAAUUAAAUUAUAAAAAACACGAAUGAAAUGCGAAACUUUAAUAAUCAACACACACCAAUCAAAUUAAAGAAUUUUAUCAUGCCGGUUCUUGUUGAACUCCCAUACGUGAGAUCGAGCACAACACAUCCAAUAGNNNN